Molecule: ribosomal RNA, 497 nt
Filed under: uncultured bacterium
Lineage: Bacteria
Description: partial 16S ribosomal RNA
Rfam family: Bacterial small subunit ribosomal RNA
Source: RNAcentral
AGUGAACGCUGGCGGCAUGCCUUACACAUGCAAGUCGAACGGUAACAGGUCUUCGGAUGCUGACGAGUGGCGAACGGGUGAGUAAUACAUCGGAACGUGCCCGAUCGUGGGGGAUAACGAAGCGAAAGCUUUGCUAAUACCGCGUAAGAUCUACGGAUGAAAGCAGGGGACCGCAAGGCCUUGCGCGAACGGAGCGGCCGAUGGCAGAUUAGGUAGUUGGUGGGAUAAAAGCUUACCAAGCCGACGAUCUGUAGCUGGUCUGAGAGGACGACCAGCCACACUGGGACUGAGACACGGCCCAGACUCCACGGGAGGCAGCAGUGGGGAAUUUUGGACAAUGGGCGAAAGCCUGAUCCAGCCAUGCCGCGUGCAGGAUGAAGGCCUUCGGGUUGUAAACUGCUUUUGUACGGAACGAAAAGACUCUUUCUAAUAAAGAGGGUCCAUGACGGUACCGUAAGAAUAAGCACCGGCUAACUACGUGCCAGCCGCCGCUGUAA